Algibacter lectus is the source of this 155-nucleotide non-coding RNA. The record is from Rfam. NCBI's taxonomy places the organism in Bacteria, Pseudomonadati, Bacteroidota, Flavobacteriia, Flavobacteriales, Flavobacteriaceae.
ACCUAGCGGAUAAUGCGUUAGGGAUUGAUGCGGCAUCCUUUUUGCAAAAACAAAAAAGCCUAGACUAUGGUUGGUCUAGGCUUUUUUUAUUAUGUGGUUACUCCAAAAGUUUAUCUAUACUUUGUAAAAAGAUAUAGCGGAAAGCCCGCCCCUUG